Molecule: ribosomal RNA, 1347 nt
Filed under: uncultured bacterium
Lineage: Bacteria
Description: bacterial SSU rRNA
Rfam family: Bacterial small subunit ribosomal RNA
Source: RNAcentral
GACGAACGCUGGCGGCGUGCUUAACACAUGCAAGUCGAACGAUGAAGCCUAGCUUGCUAGGUGGAUUAGUGGCGAACGGGUGAGUAAUACGUGAGUAACCUACCUUUAACUCUGGGAUAAGCCUGGGAAACUGGGUCUAAUACCGGAUACGACCAAUCUCCGCAUGGGGUGUUGGUGGAAAGCGUUAUGUAGUGGUUAUAGAUGGGCUCACGGCCUAUCAGCUUGUUGGUGAGGUAACGGCUCACCAAGGCGGCGACGGGUAGCCGGCCUGAGAGGGUGACCGGCCACACUGGGACUGAGACACGGCCCAGACUCCUACGGGAGGCAGCAGUGGGGAAUAUUGCACAAUGGGCGCAAGCCUGAUGCAGCGACGCCGCGUGAGGGAUGACGGCCUUCGGGUUGUAAACCUCUGUUAGCAGGGAAGAAGAGAAAUUGACGGUACCUGCAGAGAAAGCGCCGGCUAACUACGUGCCAGCAGCCGCGGUAAUACGUAGGGCGCGAGCGUUGUCCGGAAUUAUUGGGCGUAAAGAGCUUGUAGGCGGUUUGUCGCGUCUGCUGUGAAGGCCGGGGCUUAACCCCGUGUAUUGCAGUGGGUACGGGCAGACUAGAGUGCAGUAGGGGAGACUGGAACUCCUGGUGUAGCGGUGGAAUGCGCAGAUAUCAGGAAGAACACCGAUGGCGAAGGCAGGUCUCUGGGCUGUAACUGACGCUGAGAAGCGAAAGCAUGGGGAGCGAACAGGAUUAGAUACCCUGGUAGUCCAUGCCGUAAACGUUGGGCACUAGGUGUGGGGGACAUUCCACGUUUUCCGCGCCGUAGCUAACGCAUUAAGUGCCCCGCCUGGGGAGUACGGCCGCAAGGCUAAAACUCAAAGAAAUUGACGGGGGCCCGCACAAGCGGCGGAGCAUGCGGAUUAAUUCGAUGCAACGCGAAGAACCUUACCAAGGCUUGACAUAUACUGGACCGCAUCAGAGAUGGUGUUUCCCUUCGGGGCUGGUAUACAGGUGGUGCAUGGUUGUCGUCAGCUCGUGUCGUGAGAUGUUGGGUUAAGUCCCGCAACGAGCGCAACCCUCGUUCUAUGUUGCCAGCACGUUAUGGUGGGGACUCAUAGGAGACUGCCGGGGUCAACUCGGAGGAAGGUGGGGAUGACGUCAAGUCAUCAUGCCCCUUAUGUCUUGGGCUUCACGCAUGCUACAAUGGCCGGUACAGAGGGUUGCGAUACUGUGAGGUGGAGCUAAUCCCUAAAAGCCGGUCUCAGUUCGGAUUGGGGUCUGCAACUCGACCCCAUGAAGUCGGAGUCGCUAGUAAUCGCAGAUCAGCAACGCUGCGGUGAAUACGUUCCCGGGCCU